RNAcentral lists this ribosomal RNA (731 nucleotides) under uncultured bacterium. Its description in RNAcentral is "bacterial SSU rRNA". It matches the Rfam family "Bacterial small subunit ribosomal RNA", at positions 62 to 824 of the family's 1533-position model. The record is from RNAcentral.
UCGAGCGAACCUUCGGGGUGAGCGGCGGACGGGUGAGUAACGCGUGGGUAACCUGCCCUGUACACACGGAUAACAUACCGAAAGGUAUGCUAAUACGGGAUAACAUAUGAGAGUCGCAUGGCUUUUGUAUCAAAGCUCCGGCGGUACAGGAUGGACCCGCGUCUGAUUAGCUAGUUGGUAAGGUAACGGCUUACCAAGGCAACGAUCAGUAGCCGACCUGAGAGGGUGAUCGGCCACAUUGGAACUGAGACACGGUCCAAACUCCUACGGGAGGCAGCAGUGGGGAAUAUUGCACAAUGGGCGAAAGCCUGAUGCAGCAACGCCGCGUGAGCGAUGAAGGCCUUCGGGUCGUAAAGCUCUGUCCUCAAGGAAGAUAAUGACGGUACUUGAGGAGGAAGCCCCGGCUAACUACGUGCCAGCAGCCGCGGUAAUACGUAGGGGGCUAGCGUUAUCCGGAAUUACUGGGCGUAAAGGGUGCGUAGGCGGUCUUUCAAGCCAGAAGUGAAAGGCUACGGCUCAACCGUAGUAAGCUUUUGGAACUGUAGGACUUGAGUGCAGGAGAGGAGAGUGGAAUUCCUAGUGUAGCGGUGAAAUGCGUAGAUAUUAGGAGGAACACCAGUAGCGAAGGCGGCUCUCUGGACUGUAACUGACGCUGAGGCACGAAAGCGUGGGGAGCAAACAGGAUUAGAUACCCUGGUAGUCCACGCCGUANACGAUGAGUACUAGGUGUC